The submitters of this non-coding RNA (30 nucleotides) gave its source as unclassified sequences. The record is from Rfam.
UAACCUCUGACGAAUAAAUCGUGAACGUUG